UGAACACGAGAUACACAAAGGGNGCCCCAGCUUGAUGUUAUGGAAAAUGAGCUGGGGUUUGGAUCCAUGAAAGUUAGGGUGAGAAAAUUUCAAAUGAGAUUUGCAAAGCUGCCCCCAGUCUUGGGGUUAUGGAUUGAUGAAAAUUUUGUGUGAGACUCACAAAGCUGCCCCAGUUUUUUAUCGUGGUAUGGGUUGAUGAAAAACUUGUGUGAGGUUCACAAAGUUGCCCCAGUUUUUCUUCGGCAAGGGGUUUAGUUUGGAAGAGGUAGUGGACACGUACAGGAUUGGCU
RNAcentral lists this long non-coding RNA (290 nucleotides) under Vigna radiata. Its description in RNAcentral is "long non-coding RNA (VRAD_LNC017918)". Lineage: Eukaryota; Viridiplantae; Streptophyta; Magnoliopsida; Fabales; Fabaceae. The record is from RNAcentral.